This 116-nucleotide ribosomal RNA is filed under the name Clostridia bacterium. The record is from RNAcentral. Lineage: Bacteria; Bacillati; Bacillota; Clostridia.
GUCGGUGUAGAUUACGCGAAGGUUCCACCCGUUCCCUUUCCGAACACGGCAGUUAAGCUUCGUUGUGCAGACAAUACUUGGUUGGUCACGACCCGGGAAGAUAUGUUAUGCCGACU